Molecule: ribosomal RNA, 506 nt
Filed under: uncultured bacterium
Lineage: Bacteria
Description: partial 16S ribosomal RNA
Rfam family: Bacterial small subunit ribosomal RNA
Source: RNAcentral
AUUGAACGCUGGCGGCAGGCCUAACACAUGCAAGUCGGACGGUAGCACAGAGGAGCUUGCUCCUCGGGUGACGAGUGGCGGACGGGUGAGUAAUGUCUGGGGAUCUGCCCGAUAGAGGGGGAUAACCACUGGAAACGGUGGCUAAUACCGUAUAACGUCGCAAGACCAAAGAGGGGGACCUUCGGGCCUCUCACUAUCGGAUGAACCCAGAUGGGAUUAGCUAGGAGGCGGGGUAACGGCCCACCUAGGCGACGAUCCCUAGCUGGUCUGAGAGGAUGACCAGCCACACUGGAACUGAGACACGGGCCAGACUCCUACGGGAGGCAGCAGUGGGGAAUAUUGCACAAUGGGCGCAAGCCUGAUGCAGCCAUGCCGCGUGUAUGAAGAAGGCCUUCGGGUUGUAAAGUACUUUCAGCGGGGAGGAAGGCGAUGUGGUUAAUAACCGCAUUGAUUGACGUUACCCGCAGAAGAAGCACCGGCUAACUCCGUGCCAGCCGCCGCCGUAA